This 314-nucleotide ribosomal RNA is filed under the name Mesorhizobium sp. RNAcentral's name for it is "partial 23S ribosomal RNA". It matches the Rfam family "Bacterial large subunit ribosomal RNA", at positions 466 to 785 of the family's 2925-position model. The record is from RNAcentral. Lineage: Bacteria; Pseudomonadati; Pseudomonadota; Alphaproteobacteria; Hyphomicrobiales; Phyllobacteriaceae.
CUAAAUACUCGUGAUCGACCGAUAGUGAACCAGUACCGUGAGGGAAAGGCGAAAAGAACCCCGGGAGGGGAGUGAAACAGAUCCUGAAACCGCAUGCAUACAAACAGUCGGAGCCUCGCAAGGGGUGACGGCGUACCUUUUGUAUAAUGGGUCAGCGACUUACAUUCAGUGGCAAGCUUAACCGAUUAGGGCAGGCGUAGCGAAAGCGAGUCCGAACAGGGCGUUCAGUCGCUGGGUGUAGACCCGAAACCAGGUGAUCUAUCCAUGGCCAGGAUGAAGGUGCGGUAACACGUACUGGAGGUCCGAACCCACUA